This 1429-nucleotide ribosomal RNA is filed under the name uncultured bacterium. RNAcentral describes it as "bacterial SSU rRNA". It matches the Rfam family "Bacterial small subunit ribosomal RNA". The record is from RNAcentral.
GCGGCAGGCCUACACAUGCAAGUCGAGGGGCAGCGGAUGAAGUGCUUGCACUUCUGCCGGCGACCGGCGCACGGGUGCGUAACGCGUAUGCAACCUACCUUUAACAGGGGGAUAAUCUGGAGAAAUCCGGUCUAAUACCCCAUAAUAUCAGAGAAGGCAUCUUUUUUGGUUAAAAAUUCCGAUGGUUAAAGAUGGGCAUGCGUUGUAUUAGUUAGAUGGUGAGGUAACGGCUCACCAUGACUACGAUACAUAGGGGGACUGAGAGGUUUACCCCCCCACACUGGUACUGAGACACGGACCAGACUCCUACGGGAGGCAGCAGUGAGGAAUAUUGGUCAAUGGACGCAAGUCUGAACCAGCCAUGCCGCGUGCAGGAUGACGGCUCUAUGAGUUGUAAACUGCUUUUGUACGAGGGUAACCGCGGGUACGUGUACCCGUCUGAAAGUAUCGUACGAAUAAGGAUCGGCUAACUCCGUGCCAGCAGCCGCGGUAAUACGGAGGAUCCGAGCGUUAUCCGGAUUUAUUGGGUUUAAAGGGUGCGUAGGCGGUUCGAUAAGUUAUAGGUGAAAGCUCCGUGCUUAACACGGAAAAUGCCUGUGAUACUGUCGGGCUAGAAUCUGGUUGCUGAGGGCGGAAUGUGUGGUGUAGCGGUGAAAUGCUUAGAUAUCACACAGAACACCGAUUGCGAAGGCAGCUCUCAAAGCCAUCAUUGACGCUGAUGCACGAAAGCGUGGGUAGCGAACAGGAUUAGAUACCCUGGUAGUCCACGCCGUAAACGAUGAUAACUCGUUGCCGGCGAUUAUAGUCGGUGACUUAGCGAAAGCGUUAAGUUAUCCACCUGGGGAGUACGUUCGCAAGAAUGAAACUCAAAGGAAUUGACGGGGGCCCGCACAAGCGGAGGAACAUGUGGUUUAAUUCGAUGAUACGCGAGGAACCUUACCCGGGCUUGAAAGUUAAUGACGAAGAUGGAAACAUCUUUUCCCUUCGGGGCAUGAAACUAGGUGCUGCAUGGUUGUCGUCAGCUCGUGCCGUGAGGUGUCGGGUUAAGUCCCAUAACGAGCGCAACCCCUACUGUCAGUUGCCAGCAUGUAAUGAUGGGGACUCUGGCAGGACUGCCGGUGUAAGCCGAGAGGAAGGUGGGGAUGACGUCAAAUCAGCACGGCCCUUACGUCCGGGGCGACACACGUGUUACAAUGGUCGGUACAGAGGGUCGCUACCUGGUGACAGGAUGCUAAUCUCAAAAGCCGAUCUCAGUUCGGAUCGGAGGCUGAAACUCGCCUCCGUGAAGUUGGAUUCGCUAGUAAUCGCGCAUCAGCCAUGGCGCGGUGAAUACGUUCCCGGGCCUUGUACACACCGCCCGUCAAGCCAUGGAAGUUGGGGGUGCCUGAAGUACGUGACCGCAAGGAGCGUCCUAGGGCAAAACCCGAGA